Molecule: ribosomal RNA, 497 nt
Filed under: uncultured bacterium
Lineage: Bacteria
Description: partial 16S ribosomal RNA
Rfam family: Bacterial small subunit ribosomal RNA
Source: RNAcentral
GAUGAACGCUGGCGGCGUGCCUAAUACAUGCAAGUCGAGCGAACAGACGAGGAGCUUGCUCCUCUGACGUUAGCGGCGGACGGGUGAGUAACACGUGGAUAACCUACCUAUAAGACUGGGAUAACUUCGGGAAACCGGAGCUAAUACCGGAUAAUAUCUUGAACCGCAUGGUUCAAUAGUGAAAGACGGUUUUGCUGUCACUUAUAGAUGGAUCCGCGCCGCAUUAGCUAGUUGGUACGGUAACGGCUUACCAAGGCGACGAUGCGUAGCCGACCGGAGAGGGUGAUCGGCCACACUGGAGCUGAGACACGGUCCAGACUCCUACGGGAGGCAGCAGUAGGGAAUCUUCCGCAAUGGGCGAAAGCUUGACGGAGCAACGCCGCGUGAGUGAUGAAGGUCUUCGGAGCGUAAAACUCUGUUAUUAGGGAAGAACAAAUGUGUAAGUAACUAUGCACGUCUUGACGGUACCUAAUCAGAAAGCCACGGCUAACUACGUG